This is a long non-coding RNA of Macrobrachium nipponense, 767 nucleotides long. RefSeq lists it as uncharacterized. The transcript is spliced from 3 exons. The record is from RefSeq and is a predicted model, not a curated record. Lineage: Eukaryota; Metazoa; Arthropoda; Malacostraca; Decapoda; Palaemonidae.
CUUUCGCGUCGGUGUCUAAAGUCGUCGUGUUGUUCGUUGUGUUGUUAACUCGUGAUUUGGUGGAGUAGCGAAGCUUGGAAGAUUCCAUACUCCUCUAGAAGUAAAAGUAAGGACGAUUUCUUGCUAUUCGACUUGAGUGAAGAUAGACUACUUCGUGCUACUGGAGAAGAAUGAAGAUAACAUUAUCCUGCUACUCGAGAAGGGUGAGUGUAAGGACGAUUUCCGGCUACAGGAGAAUAAGUUAGAUUUCGUGCUACUGAAUUAUAUUGAAGAUAAGGAAGACUCCUUACUACGUGAGAAGGAAAUAUGCCCUCGCUCAGUCUGUACAAAGGUUUGGUGAAUUCCAUAUCGGCAAGAAAACCUAAAAAGAUUGAAGCCAAGCCAAGACUGAAGCCAAGAUUGAUAUUUCUGACCCUUCACAAAAGCGGACCUUCCCAACCAAGGUCAGAGAUUUGCUGGUCAGAGACUUUUAAGUGUGGGCCUGUAUAGGAGAAAUUUGGAUCUAUUGUGAAUGGUUUAAUUUGGAUCUAUUGUGAAUGGUUUAAUUUGGAUCUAUUGGUGAAUGGUUUAAUUUGGAUCUAUUGUGAAUGGUUUAAUUUGGAUCUAUUGUGAAUGGUUUAACUGGGAUCUAUUGUGAAUGGUUUAACUGGGAUCUAUUGUGAAUGGUUUAACUGGGAUCUAUUGUGAAUGGUUUAACUGGGAUCUAUUGUGAAUGGGUUAACUGGGAUCUAUUGUGAAUGGGUUAACUGGGAUCUAUUGUGAAUGGG